This 1696-nucleotide unclassified non-coding RNA is filed under the name uncultured fungus. Its description in RNAcentral is "sequence contains 18S rRNA gene, ITS1, 5.8S rRNA gene, ITS2, 28S rRNA gene". The stretch from base 635 to 1696 matches the Rfam family "Eukaryotic large subunit ribosomal RNA", at positions 1 to 961 of the family's 3401-position model. Lineage: Eukaryota; Fungi. The record is from RNAcentral.
GGAAGGAUCAUUAACAAAUCAUAUGGAUGGAGUGUGGGUGUGUAGUGCGUGGGGCGCGUGGCAUGUGAAAGCAUGCCGUGCUCACCACGUACGCUACUGCACACCGCCUCCAAACAGAAACCCGAACCCGUGCAGUAAAACGCCGGGUUUUGGCUGCGCUAGUCCUUGCGGAUUGGUGCAAAUAAACGCUUAUUUUGUUUGACAGUAAAAAGUGAUCUUUAAAAAAUGACAACUUUUAACAAUGGAUCUCUUGGCUCUUGCAACGAUGAAGAACGCAGUGAAAUGCGAAAAGUAAUGCGAUUUGCAUGAAUCUGUGAGUCAUCAAGUCUUUGAACGCACCUUGCACCGUAUGAGCAAUUGUACGGUAUACCUGUUUGAGAAUCGUAAAACCCCUCUCUCUCCGUUCUGCGGAGGGAGGAUGUGUCGAUUGAAGAGCUUUGCUUUUCAUUGAUCAAAUGUAUCAGGUUAUCGGCCCAAGCUGGUGGUCCCGAGACACUGUGUGCUAGAGACAAAAGGAAGGGAGAGAGCAAUCUCUGUUUUCCUCCAGUCUUCUCAUGGUGCGUCUUGGGGUCCAAUUACAAAGCUGGCUUGAGACUAGACCUUAACGUGUGUAAAAACACAACAUACCAUUCUUUGAUCUCAAAUCAGGUAAGGCUACCCGCUGAACUUAAGCAUAUCAGUAAGCGGAGGAAAAGAAACUAACAAGGAUUCCCCUAGUAACGGCGAGCGAAGCGGGAAGAGUUCAAAUUUAAAAUCUGGGCGGCUUUGCUGCUCCGAAUUGUAAUUUAAAGAGGCGUUAUCUAGGCCUAGUUCGAUGCUCAAGUCCCUUGGAAUAGGGCGUCACAGAGGGUGAGAACCCCGUCUGGGCAUUGGGCUAGGUCUUCCAUGAGGCGCUCUCUACGAGUCGAGUUGUUUGGGAAUGCAGCUCAAAAUGGGUGGUAAAUUUCAUCUAAAACUAAAUACUGGCAAGAGACCGAUAGCGAACAAGUACCGUGAGGGAAAGAUGAAAAGCACCUUGAAAAGGGAGUUAAACAGUGCGUGAAAUUGUUAAAAGGGAAACGAUUGAGACCAGUAUUACUGCUGGCCGUUCAGCGUCGCGUUGGGGCAACCCUGCGUGGCGUGCACUCGGUCGGCGGUGAGUCAGCAUCAGUUUGGGCUCUUGGAGAGAGGCUGGAGGAAGAUGGGGUAGGCCUUCGGGUCGACUCUUUAUAGACUCUGGCUGGCACAGGGAGUCUGGACUGAGGAGUUUGCGACUGCAGUACUCUUGGUUCGAGCCCGGUUCCCAUGUCCGCGGACUACAUGUAGACCUCGGCCGCAAGAACAGGAGGUAGGGCCAAGCAUGCAGGUCAAGGAUGCUGACGAAAUGGUCUUAAACGACCCGUCUUGAAACACGGACCAAGGAGUCUAACACAUGUGCGAGUAUUUGGGUGGCAAACCCGAGUGCGUAAUGAAAGUGAUCUGGGUGAGAGCCUUGCCUCCGUGCUUGGUGCAUCAUCGGCCGAACCUUGACGUCUUCUGAUAGGUUUGAGUAAGAGCAUAUUUGUUGGGACCCGAAAGGUAGUGAACUAUGCCUGGAUAGGAUGAAGCCAGAGGAAACUCUGGUGGAGGUCCGUAGCCGUUCUGACGUGCAAAUCGAUGGUCAAAUCUGGGUAUAGGGGCGAAAGACUAAUCGAACUACCUAGUAGCUGGUUCCCUC